RNAcentral lists this ribosomal RNA (118 nucleotides) under Oreochromis niloticus (Nile tilapia). The record is from RNAcentral. Lineage: Eukaryota; Metazoa; Chordata; Actinopteri; Cichliformes; Cichlidae.
GCUUACGGCCAUACCACCCUGAACGCGCCCGAUCUCGUCUGAUCUCGGAAGCAAGCAGGGUCGGGCCUGGUCAGUACUUGGACGGGAGACCGCCUGGGAAUACCAGGUGCUGUAAGCU